Molecule: non-coding RNA, 30 nt
Filed under: Macaca fascicularis (crab-eating macaque)
Lineage: Eukaryota; Metazoa; Chordata; Mammalia; Primates; Cercopithecidae
Also listed under: 1 other name
Source: RNAcentral
UGACUGAGAGGUGGCUUCUGGGCUAAAGGA